This 325-nucleotide ribosomal RNA is filed under the name uncultured bacterium. Its description in RNAcentral is "bacterial SSU rRNA". It matches the Rfam family "Bacterial small subunit ribosomal RNA", at positions 28 to 334 of the family's 1533-position model. The record is from RNAcentral.
GAUGAACGCUGGCGGCGUGCUUAACACAUGCAAGUCGAACGAAGCACUUGAACCCGAUUUCUUCGGAUUGAAGGAUCUUGUGACUUAGUGGCGGACGGGUGAGUAACGCGUGGGCAACCUGCCUCACACUGGGGGACAACAGUUGGAAACGACUGCUAAUACCGCAUAAGCGCACACUGCUGCAUGGCAGAGUGUGAAAACUCCGGUGGUGUGAGAUGGGCCCGCGUUGGAUUAGGUAGUUGGUAGGGUAAUGGCCUACCAAGGCAACGAUGCGUAGCCGACCUGAGAGGGUGAUCGGCCACACUGGGACUGAGACACGGCCCAG